AACGAACGCUGGCGGCAGGCCUAACACAUGCAAGUCGAGCGAGAUCUUCGGGUCUAGCGGCGGACGGGUGAGUAACGCGUGGGAAUAUGCCUCUUGGUACGGAAUAGCCUCGGGAAACUGGGAGUAAUACCGUAUGUGCCCUUUGGGGGAAAGAUUUAUCGCCAAGAGAUUAGCCCGCGUUGGAUUAGGUAGUUGGUGGGGUAAUGGCCUACCAAGCCGACGAUCCAUAGCUGGUUUGAGAGGAUGAUCAGCCACACUGGGACUGAGGCACGGCCCAGACUCCUACGGGAGGCAGCAGUGGGGAAUCUUAGACAAUGGGGGCAACCCUGAUCUAGCCAUGCCGCGUGAGUGAUGAAGGCCUUAGGGUUGUAAAGCUCUUUCAGCUGGGAAGAUAAUGACGGUACCAGCAGAAGAAGCCCCGGCUAACUCCGUG
This 433-nucleotide ribosomal RNA is filed under the name uncultured bacterium. Its description in RNAcentral is "partial 16S ribosomal RNA". It matches the Rfam family "Bacterial small subunit ribosomal RNA", at positions 29 to 507 of the family's 1533-position model. The record is from RNAcentral.